Molecule: ribosomal RNA, 194 nt
Filed under: uncultured Marinobacter sp.
Lineage: Bacteria; Pseudomonadati; Pseudomonadota; Gammaproteobacteria; Pseudomonadales; Marinobacteraceae
Description: partial 16S ribosomal RNA
Rfam family: Bacterial small subunit ribosomal RNA
Source: RNAcentral
CUACGGGAGGCAGCAGUGGGGAAUAUUGGACAAUGGGGGCAACCCUGAUCCAGCCAUGCCGCGUGUGUGAAGAAGGCUUUCGGGUUGUAAAGCACUUUCAGUAGGGAGGAAAACCUUAUGGUUAAUACCCAUGAGGCUUGACGUUACCUACAGAAGAAGCACCGGCUAACUCCGUGCCAGCAGCCGCGGUAAUA